AGACAGCUUCGUAACCAAAUUUCAGCCAACCUCCAUCAUCUACUCUGGGGAGAUUCUCUUAAUGGUGACUAUCAUCUCCAUUUCCAAUAGAGCUUCAUCUGAUCGUGAAGGUCCAUCUUCUUUCAUUCUAGCGUCACUUAAGCUUCGCCUGAUCGCCCUAUCUUUUAGCUCCAGCUUUGUGUAAACCUAUAAUUGACCUAUUACACAGAAAGGCAUGAGCACUUUGGUUUAGUACAUUGUUCAAAUUUAUGAAAUUUGUAUGAUAUGGAUUAUGCAUCAUCCAAAAUGUCAAUGCAUCCAUACUUGAAACCAUACAUUUCUAUGUUUUCUCUCAAAUUGGGGGUAGUGAAAUUUGGAACUAUGACCAUGCUGUUCACAUUAAAUAUAAGUGAAAUUUUGCAAUUUAUAUUUUUAAUUGACUCAUUCU
This 427-nucleotide long non-coding RNA is filed under the name Olea europaea (common olive). RNAcentral describes it as "long non-coding RNA (OEUR_LNC000595)". Lineage: Eukaryota; Viridiplantae; Streptophyta; Magnoliopsida; Lamiales; Oleaceae. The record is from RNAcentral.